CACGCCCAAAUAGUGGUGACACCGAUGGUGGGUCUGGGGAGGUUGGUGCGGAGGUUGCAGGUGCUAACCGGCGCCCACCUUUCCAAUCCUCUUCAAUGGCUACGAUGACCAGUAAAUCAAAGUCCCUUGUCCCUGUAGCGUGCCAUUUGGCACAGGGAACAAUGAAGGGAGAUUCAUCAAUGGAGGGUCUUGUGCAGAGAGGGGAGUCUGGCUGUGCUGGAGUUGGCAGAGGGCAGCAGGGGGAAGCAGAGGGCCGUGAGGAGGGGCCU
Molecule: long non-coding RNA, 269 nt
Filed under: Phoenix dactylifera (date palm)
Lineage: Eukaryota; Viridiplantae; Streptophyta; Magnoliopsida; Arecales; Arecaceae
Description: long non-coding RNA (PDAC_LNC004971)
Source: RNAcentral